CGAACGCUGGCGGCGUGCUUAACACAUGCAAGUCGAACGGAAAGGCCCUGCUUUUGUGGGGUGCUCGAGUGGCGAACGGGUGAGUAACACGUGAGUAACCUGCCCUUGACUUUGGGAUAACUUCAGGAAACUGGGGCUAAUACCGGAUAGGAGCUCCUGCUGCAUGGUGGGGGUUGGAAAGUUUCGGCGGUUGGGGAUGGACUCGCGGCUUAUCAGCUUGUUGGUGGGGUAGUGGCUUACCAAGGCUUUGACGGGUAGCCGGCCUGAGAGGGUGACCGGCCACAUUGGGACUGAGAUACGGCCCAGACUCCUACGGGAGGCAGCAGUGGGGAAUAUUGCACAAUGGGCGGAAGCCUGAUGCAGCAACGCCGCGUGUGGGAUGACGGCCUUCGGGUUGUAAACCGCUUUCGCCUGUGACGAAGCGUGAGUGACGGUAAUGGGUAAAGAAGCACCGGCUAACUACGUG
Molecule: ribosomal RNA, 466 nt
Filed under: uncultured bacterium
Lineage: Bacteria
Description: partial 16S ribosomal RNA
Rfam family: Bacterial small subunit ribosomal RNA
Source: RNAcentral